Long non-coding RNA from Juglans microcarpa x Juglans regia, 110 nucleotides. RefSeq lists it as uncharacterized. The transcript is spliced from 3 exons. Lineage: Eukaryota; Viridiplantae; Streptophyta; Magnoliopsida; Fagales; Juglandaceae. The record is from RefSeq and is a predicted model, not a curated record.
UGGGAUUUCCCCUGAACCUAAAUUUGUGAUCGAUUAUCUUCAGACUCUAAAAUCAUCCGAGGAGUCAUUAAGAGAACAGCUAGAGAAGGCAAAGAAAAAGGAAGCUGAUU